GACGAACGCUGGCGGCGUGCUUAACACAUGCAAGUCGAACGGAAAGGCCUGCUUUCCCUUGUGGAUUGCGGGUACUCGAGUGGCGAACGGGUGAGUAACACGUGAGUGAUCUGCCCCCAACUUGGGUAUAAGCCUGGGAAACUGGGUCUAAUUCCCGAUAGGACUGCAGGGUGGUGCCUGUGGUGGAACACGAUUUUCUAGUGGUUGGGGAUGAGCUCGCGGCCUAUCAGCUUGUUGGUGGGGUAAUGGCCUACCAAGGCGGCGACGGGUAGCCGGCCUGAGAGGGUGGACGGACACAUUGGGACUGAGAUACGGCCCAGACUCCUACGGGAGGCAGCAGUGGGGAAUAUUGCACAAUGGGCGGAAGCCUGAUGCAGCGACGCCGCGUGGGGGAUGACGGCCUUCGGGUUGUAAACUCCUUUCGACCGCGAGGAAGCCACCUGGUUGGAAGGGUGGUGACGGUAGUGGUAGAAGAAGCACCGGCUAACUACGUG
This 494-nucleotide ribosomal RNA is filed under the name uncultured bacterium. RNAcentral describes it as "partial 16S ribosomal RNA". It matches the Rfam family "Bacterial small subunit ribosomal RNA", at positions 28 to 507 of the family's 1533-position model. The record is from RNAcentral.